RNAcentral lists this microRNA precursor (91 nucleotides) under Drosophila mojavensis. Its description in RNAcentral is "microRNA dmo-mir-92b precursor". Its record names the gene dmo-mir-92b. Lineage: Eukaryota; Metazoa; Arthropoda; Insecta; Diptera; Drosophilidae. The record is from miRBase by way of RNAcentral.
AACGUCACCUGAUGUAGGUCGUGCCUGGUGCUUAUUUGUUGUUAUGCGAAAAUACAAAUUGCACUAGUCCCGGCCUGCAGUGAGUGUCGCA